RNAcentral lists this small RNA (142 nucleotides) under pig gut metagenome. RNAcentral describes it as "HNH endonuclease-associated RNA and ORF (HEARO) RNA". It matches the Rfam family "HNH endonuclease-associated RNA and ORF (HEARO) RNA", at positions 1 to 127 of the family's 211-position model. The record is from RNAcentral.
GUCAACAACCCAUGACUAAAGUCACGGGCUUGCAAGCCCGUUGUUGAUUAGACUAAGGAGAAUAUCUUAAAAAAGAUACAUAUCCUACGUUAUUUAAGAAUACAUAGGUACCAGGGGAUGUAUAGCCAAGUCCCUUGCUCUA